AGCUCCGUGCCUCCUCUGUUUCAAUAAACCCGUGUUAUACCCUGCUCAGAGGAGUCUGCCUUUCAUUCAGCUGCCACGGUUGUUUGCACCAUCUACGUGCCCGUCGCUGGAGGUGGGAUCCAAGUUCCCACAGGGAGGAGGUGGCUCGCCCUGCCUGCCACCCCGACCAUUCCACGUUGCCGCAGUGGGAAAUGCGCUGAGCUAGCCUGUGGCCGCGCUGGUCAGCGCAAACCGGACACUGCGACAUGUGACUACAGUUGGGACUGUCACAGAUAUGUUCCUGUACUAUUGCUGUUUUCCUGUUUGUAGUCAGAUGGAUAUAGAUGAUCAUACUUUCAGAAAUUCCAGAGUAACUACAUGACGACAGAUAGUGCCCACUGUCUGUAUCUGCAGCUGCAAAAGCUCUGGAGGAAAUAAUCUGUCAUAGCCCUGAUGAGGCAUCUAUGGGUGACUGCACAACAGAACAGAGUCUCCAGGUUGCUGCUAAAUGAGCCUGAAAUAGGAAGUCAUUACCUUGGGUACAGAAAUAUUAUUUUUAAUUCAGACUGUUUUUCAGACCCAAGCCACUGUCAGUGCUCAUCACACUGUCUUAAACAAAUCUUCUCUCAUGCUCUGCUCCCCUGCACAGCUACACACGUAUGGAUCUCACCCAUACAAUCCAAGAUAAAAUCCAAGAUA
Long non-coding RNA from Hirundo rustica (Barn swallow), 678 nucleotides. RefSeq lists it as uncharacterized. Lineage: Eukaryota; Metazoa; Chordata; Aves; Passeriformes; Hirundinidae. The record is from RefSeq and is a predicted model, not a curated record. The transcript has 3 exons.